This 440-nucleotide ribosomal RNA is filed under the name uncultured bacterium. RNAcentral's name for it is "partial 16S ribosomal RNA". It matches the Rfam family "Bacterial small subunit ribosomal RNA", at positions 338 to 795 of the family's 1533-position model. The record is from RNAcentral.
CCUACGGGAUGCAGCAGUGGGGAAUAUUGCACAAUGGGGGAAACCCUGAUGCAGCGAAGCCGCGUGAGUGAAGAAGUAAUUCGUUACGUAAAGCUCUAUCAGCAGAGAAGUAAAUGACGGUACCUGAGUCAGAAGCCCCGGCUAACUACGUGCCAGCAGCCGCGGUAAUACGUAGGGGGCAAGCGUUAUCCGGAUUUACUGGGUGUAAAGGGAGCGUAGACGGGGCGCCAAGUCUGUAGUGAAAUGCCGCGGCUUAACCGUGGAAUUGCUUUGGAUACUGGCGAACUAGAGUGCGGGAGGGGUAAGCGGAAUUCCUAGUGUAGCGGUGAAAUGCGUAGAUAUUAGGAGGAACACCGGUGGCGAAGGCGGCUUACUGGACCGUAACUGACGUUGAGGCUCGAAAGCGUGGGGAGCAAACAGGAUUAGAUACCCUUGUAGUC